RNAcentral lists this ribosomal RNA (468 nucleotides) under uncultured bacterium. Its description in RNAcentral is "partial 16S ribosomal RNA". It matches the Rfam family "Bacterial small subunit ribosomal RNA", at positions 28 to 507 of the family's 1533-position model. The record is from RNAcentral.
GACGAACGCUGGCGGCGUGCUUAACACAUGCAAGUCGAACGGAAAGGCCCUGCUUUUGUGGGGUGCUCGAGUGGCGAACGGGUGAGUAACACGUGAGUAACCUGCCCUUGACUUUGGGAUAACUUCAGGAAACUGGGGCUAAUACCGGAUAGGAGCUCCUGCUGCAUGGUGGGGGUUGGAAAGUUUCGGCGGUUGGGGAUGGACUCGCGGCUUAUCGGCUUGUUGGUGGGGUAGUGGCUUACCAAGGCUUUGACGGGUAGCCGGCCUGAGAGGGUGACCGGCGACAUUGGGACUGAGAUACGGCGCAGACUCCUACGGGAGGCAGCAGUGGGGAAUAUUGCACAAUGGGCGGAAGCCUGAUGCAGCAACGCCGCGUGCGGGAUGACGGCCUUCGGGUUGUAAACCGCUUUCGCCUGUGACGAAGCGUGAGUGACGGUAAUGGGUGAAGAAGCACCGGCUAACUACGUG